Long non-coding RNA from Pseudoliparis swirei, 586 nucleotides. RefSeq lists it as uncharacterized. The transcript has 3 exons. NCBI's taxonomy places the organism in Eukaryota, Metazoa, Chordata, Actinopteri, Perciformes, Liparidae. The record is from RefSeq and is a predicted model, not a curated record.
AUUCAAACGUCUGACACGCAGAGAAACACAGAAGUGGAUGAAGACGAGGAUGAAGUGUUGCUGAAGGCCGGGGACGAGUGGAGCGAGGGAGAACUACAAACUCUAUUUCCCACAAUGCACCGGGACACACCUCUGUCACAUUGCAUCGGUGACUGGCUGGUCUGCUGUCCAAUAGGACAACAGGAUGAAUCUAAGGAGGCGGGGACACAGGACGCCUGUCUGUCUGAAGCAGAGGAUUGUGGGACGUGUAGUCCAGAGGAGCUGCUGCAGGAGACUGUCGAGAGACUGAAGACAGUGAUGGAGACAGACAGGUGGAGAGAGAGACAGACAGGUGAGAGGGCGGAGCUUCUGCAGGCUGCGGACCAGGUGGGGAGCUCCAUACACCACCUGGUGGACGCUGUGAGAACUGACACACUGAUGACUUUCAGAUCGAAGGGUUCUCGUUUCCGGUCUGACUUCUUCUGCGUCAUUAGACGGAACGUCUCGCAGCAGCCCGACGGUGCUGCCGCCAACAGGUCGGAAGGAGGACUACAGCUCUUGACGACUCAAAUACACCCAAAACUAGUGAGACACACUUUGUUCAAAG